UACGGGGGGGCAAGCGUUGUUCGGAAUUCUGGGCGUAAAGGGGCGCGUAGGCGGCCCUCUAAGUCAGACGUGAAAUCCCUCGGCUCAACCGGGGGAACUGCGUCUGAUACUGGAGGGCUUUGAAUCCGGGGAGAGGGAUGUGGAAUUCCAGGUGUAGCGGUGAAAUGCGUAGAUAUCUGGGAGGAACACCGGUGGCGAAGGCGGCAUCCUGGACCGGUAUUGACGCUG
RNAcentral lists this ribosomal RNA (228 nucleotides) under uncultured bacterium. RNAcentral's name for it is "partial 16S ribosomal RNA". It matches the Rfam family "Bacterial small subunit ribosomal RNA", at positions 524 to 748 of the family's 1533-position model. The record is from RNAcentral.